This 1315-nucleotide ribosomal RNA is filed under the name unidentified marine bacterioplankton. RNAcentral's name for it is "bacterial SSU rRNA". It matches the Rfam family "Bacterial small subunit ribosomal RNA", at positions 9 to 1371 of the family's 1533-position model. The record is from RNAcentral.
GAGUUUGAUCAUGGCUCAGAACGUACGCUGGCGGCACGCCUAACACAUGCAAGUCGAACGAAGUAGCAAUACUUAGUGGCAGACGGGUGAGUAACAUGUAGGUAUCUUCCCUUUGGCCUGGAAUAACACGAGGAAACUUGUGCUAAUACUGGAUAAGUCUUUACGGAGAAAGCUUUAUGCACCAUUGGAUGAGCCUGCACUUGAUUAGUUUGUUGGUGGGGUAAAGGCCUACCAAGACUGUGAUCAAUAGCUGAUUUGAGAGGAUGAUCAGCCACAUUGGGACUGAGACACGGCCCAAACUCCUACGGGAGGCAGCAGUGGGGAAUCUUGCACAAUGGAGGAAACUCUGAUGCAGCGAUGCCGCGUGAGUGAAGAAGGCCUUUGGGUUGUAAAGCUCUUUCGUCGGGGAAGAAAAUGACUGUACCCGAAUAAGAAGGUCCGGCUAACUUCGUGCCAGCAGCCGCGGUAAUACGAAGGGACCUAGCGUAGUUCGGAAUUACUGGGCUUAAAGAGUUCGUAGGUGGUUGAAAAAGUUGGUGGUGAAAUCCCAGAGCUUAACUCUGGAACUGCCAUCAAAACUUUUCAGCUAGAGUUUGAUAGAGGAAAGCAGAAUUUCUAGUGUAGAGGUGAAAUUCGUAGAUAUUAGAAAGAAUGCCAAUUGCGAAGGCAGCUUUCUGGAUCAUUACUGACACUGAGGAACGAAAGCAUGGGUAGCGAAGAGGAUUAGAUACCCUCGUAGUCCAUGCCGUAAACGAUGUGUGUUAGACGUUGGAAAUUUAUUUUCAGUGUCGCAGCGAAAGCGAUAAACACACCGCCUGGGGAGUACGACCGCAAGGUUAAAACUCAAAUGAAUUGACGGGGACCCGCACAAGUAGUGGAGCAUGUGGUUUAAUUCGAAGAUACGCGCAGAACCUUACCAACACUUGACAUGUUCGUCGCGACUUUAAGAGAUUAAAGUUUUCGGUUCGGCCGGACGAAACACAGGUGCUGCAUGGCUGUCGUCAGCUCGUGUCGUGAGAUGUUGGGUUAAGUCCCGCAACGAGCGCAACCCUCACUUUUAGUUGCCAUCAUUUAGUUGGGCACUCUGAAAGAACUGCCAGUGAUAAGCUGGAGGAAGGUGGGGAUGACGUCAAGUCCUCAUGGCCCUUACGUGUUGAGCUACACACGUGCUACAAUGGUAUUUACAACAGGAAGCAAAACGGCGACGUUAAGCAAAUCCUCAAAAAAUACCUCAGUUCGGAUUGCACUCUGCAACUCGAGUGCAUGAAGCUGGAAUUACUAGUAAUCGUGGAUCAGCGUGCCACGGUGAAUGCGU